This 486-nucleotide ribosomal RNA is filed under the name uncultured bacterium. Its description in RNAcentral is "partial 16S ribosomal RNA". It matches the Rfam family "Bacterial small subunit ribosomal RNA", at positions 28 to 507 of the family's 1533-position model. The record is from RNAcentral.
GAUGAACGCUGGCGGCGUGCCUAAUACAUGCAAGUCGAACGCUGGAAAUCUAGCUUGCUAGAUUGAAGGAGUGGCGAACGGGUGAGUAAUACAUAAGCAACCUACCCACGAAGACUGGGAUAAUCUCUGGAAACGGGGACUAAUACCGGAUAGGUAAUCGGAAGGCAUCUUCUGAUUAUUAAAGGUUAAAAACACUGGUGGAUGGGCUUAUGGCGCAUUAGUUAGUUGGUGAGGUAACGGCCCACCAAGACGAUGAUGCGUAGCCGGCCUGAGAGGGUGAACGGCCACAUUGGGACUGAGACACGGCCCAGACUCCUACGGGAGGCAGCAGUAGGGAAUUUUCGGCAAUGGGGGAAACCCUGACCGAGCAACGCCGCGUGAGUGAUGACGGCCUUCGGGUUGUAAAGCUCUGUUGUAGGGGAAGAACGGUAGAUAGAGAAUAUCUAAAUGACGGUACCUUACCAGAAAGCCACGGCUAACUACGUG